Molecule: ribosomal RNA, 468 nt
Filed under: uncultured bacterium
Lineage: Bacteria
Description: partial 16S ribosomal RNA
Rfam family: Bacterial small subunit ribosomal RNA
Source: RNAcentral
GACGAACGCUGGCGGCGUGCUUAACACAUGCAAGUCGAACGGAAAGGCCCUGCUUUUGUGGGGCGCUCGAGUGGCGAACGGGUGAGUAACACGUGAGUAACCUGCCCUUGACUUUGGGAUAACUUCAGGAAACUGGGGCUAAUACCGGAUAGGAGCUCCUGCUGCAUGGUGGGGGUUGGAAAGUUUCGGCGGUUGGGGAUGGACUCGCGGCUUAUCAGCUUGUUGGUGGGGUAGUGGCUUACCAAGGCUUUGACGGGUAGCCGGCCUGAGAGGGUGACCGGCCACAUUGGGACUGAGAUACGGCCCAGACUCCUACGGGAGGCAGCAGUGGGGAGUAUUGCACAAUGGGCGGAAGCCUGAUGCGGCAACGCCGCGUGCGGGAUGACGGCCUUCGGGUUGUAAACCGCUUUCGCCUGUGACGAAGCGUGAGUGACGGUAAUGGGUAAAGAAGCACCGGCUAACUACGUG